UGCAGGCAACAGAGCUCUGAGCGCCAUCACUGCCACCUGCUGGCGUGGAGUACAAACGACAACACACGUUUUCUCAAUCCUUUUGGCACAUGUCUUCAAUCAAACUUAACAUUAACAAACCAAUGGCGCUGCAGCUCCACUACACAAUCUCCUGAAAACGCUCUCGGAGGAGACUGAGAGAACGACAGCAGCCUGUUAACAGACUUACUGCAGAUGACAGCGCGCAGGUACCGUCGCUUUUUGGCUGCAUUCAAGAUUCCACAGGUGUGUGGCGCACAGAGUCUGUUGAGGUGGAUAAGAGUUCAUGGGCUUACGGACAGAUCUCCGUCCUCUUUCUC
Triplophysa dalaica is the source of this 338-nucleotide long non-coding RNA. RefSeq lists it as uncharacterized. The transcript has 3 exons. NCBI's taxonomy places the organism in Eukaryota, Metazoa, Chordata, Actinopteri, Cypriniformes, Nemacheilidae. The record is from RefSeq and is a predicted model, not a curated record.